This 500-nucleotide ribosomal RNA is filed under the name uncultured Desulfobulbus sp. Its description in RNAcentral is "bacterial SSU rRNA". It matches the Rfam family "Bacterial small subunit ribosomal RNA", at positions 882 to 1382 of the family's 1533-position model. Lineage: Bacteria; Pseudomonadati; Thermodesulfobacteriota; Desulfobulbia; Desulfobulbales; Desulfobulbaceae. The record is from RNAcentral.
GCCCGCUCAAGAAACUCAAAGGAAUUCGACGGGGCCCGCACAAGCGGUGGAGCAUGUGGUUAAUUCGAAGCAACGCGAAGAACCUUACCUGGUCUUGACAUCCCGGAGACCCUUAGGAAACUAGGGGUGCUUCCAUCUGGAAGAAUCUGGAGACAGGUGCUGCAUGGCUGUCGUCAGCUCGUGUCGUGAGAUGUUGGGUUAAGUCCCGCAACGAGCGCAACCCUUGCCUUUAGUUGCCAGCAGUUCGGCUGGGCACUCUAAAGGGACUGCCGGUGUUAAACCGGAGGAAGGUGGGGAUGACGUCAAGUCCUCAUGGCCUUUAUGACCAGGGCUACACACGUACUACAAUGGCCGAUACAAAGGGCAGCGACACUGCGAGGUGAAGCCAAUCCCGUAAAAUCGGUCUCAGUCCGGAUUGGAGUCUGCAACUCGACUCCAUGAAGUUGGAAUCGCUAGUAAUCGUGGAUCAGCAUGCCACGGUGAAUACGUUCCCGGGCCUU